Molecule: long non-coding RNA, 394 nt
Organism: Nymphaea colorata (pocket water lily)
Lineage: Eukaryota; Viridiplantae; Streptophyta; Magnoliopsida; Nymphaeales; Nymphaeaceae
Exons: 2
Source: RefSeq, a predicted model, not a curated record
CCAUGGAACAACUCAUAAUCGUGCGCUUGCAACUCCCCUGAUCGCAGAUGCUGCUUUUCAUCCCUCUCUCGGUUGCUUUCAUCUUCACCUCCUCUCUCUCUCUCGGAGUGGGGAGGUGCUGUUGCCAUGGGCCAUUGACUCCUGAUGGCCGCAUUGACCCCAUUGUCGUUUGCCUUGUUGCCCUGCUUCGGUGAAACCUGAGUGUAUUGUUGCACCAUCGGUUUCAACUUCCCUGCCUCAUAAGGCCCACGGCAUGUACAGAGUCGCUGUCUGGUAUCUUCCAAAGCAAUAAUGGUGUUUAUCGGCGCUUCACUGGUAUUGAAUGGUGUUGAAGAUAACAUUUUUUUUAUGGAUAUCACAAGUAUUAGUUCAAGCUCAAAUAACAACCUUUUUU